UUACCCUGAACGGUGGAUCACUUGGUUCGUGGGUCGAUGAAGAACGCAGCUAAUUGCGCGUCAAAUUGUGAACUGCAGGACAC
This 83-nucleotide ribosomal RNA is filed under the name Pleophylla sp. BNHM834745. Its description in RNAcentral is "partial 5.8S ribosomal RNA". It matches the Rfam family "5.8S ribosomal RNA", at positions 1 to 82 of the family's 154-position model. Rfam says of the family: 5.8S ribosomal RNA (5.8S rRNA) is a component of the large subunit of the eukaryotic ribosome. It is transcribed by RNA polymerase I as part of the 45S precursor that also contains 18S and 28S rRNA. Lineage: Eukaryota; Metazoa; Arthropoda; Insecta; Coleoptera; Scarabaeidae. The record is from RNAcentral. RNAcentral also lists the same sequence under 3 other names.